Molecule: small RNA, 113 nt
Filed under: Pseudomonas sp. 8AS
Lineage: Bacteria; Pseudomonadati; Pseudomonadota; Gammaproteobacteria; Pseudomonadales; Pseudomonadaceae
Source: RNAcentral
CAUCACUGAUGAGCAGGACGCUCAUCGGGAUCAAGGAUGAUCGACCAUCGCCAGGAAGGCAGCUGACAGGAUGUCGGAAUGGUCUGAGAAAAACCCGCUUCGGCGGGUUUUUU